UUAAAUAUCUGUGUGUGAAAUUAUUUAAAAGAUUAAUUUCACGCGAAGAUAUUUAUUU
This 58-nucleotide microRNA precursor is filed under the name Drosophila melanogaster (fruit fly). RNAcentral's name for it is "Dme-Mir-2279_pre stem-loop". Lineage: Eukaryota; Metazoa; Arthropoda; Insecta; Diptera; Drosophilidae. The record is from RNAcentral.